Molecule: transfer RNA, 71 nt
Filed under: Rhodopirellula sp.
Lineage: Bacteria; Pseudomonadati; Planctomycetota; Planctomycetia; Pirellulales; Pirellulaceae
Description: tRNA-Gln
Rfam family: tRNA
About the family: Transfer RNA (tRNA) molecules are approximately 80 nucleotides in length. Their secondary structure includes four short double-helical elements and three loops (D, anti-codon, and T loops).
Source: RNAcentral
UCGGGGAUGGGCUAAUGGUACGCCACCUGGCUUUGAACCAGGUGAUGGGGGUUCGAUUCCCUCUCCCCGAG